RNAcentral lists this ribosomal RNA (653 nucleotides) under uncultured bacterium. RNAcentral's name for it is "bacterial SSU rRNA". It matches the Rfam family "Bacterial small subunit ribosomal RNA", at positions 104 to 792 of the family's 1533-position model. The record is from RNAcentral.
GGGUUAGUAACGCGUGGGAAUAUGCCCAAAGGUACGGAAUAGCCUCUGGAAACGGAGAGUAAUACCGUAUGUGCCCUACGGGGGAAAGAUUUAUCGCCUUUGGAUUAGCCCGCGUCUGAUUAGAUAGUUGGUGGGGUAACGGCCUACCAAGUCGACGAUCAGUAGCUGGUUUGAGAGGAUGAUCAGCAACACUGGGACUGAGACACGGCCCAGACUCCUACGGGAGGCAGCAGUGGGGAAUCUUAGACAAUGGGCGCAAGCCUGAUCUAGCCAUGCCGCGUGAGUGACGAAGGUCUUAGGAUCGUAAAGCUCUUUCGCCAGGGAUGAUAAUGACAGUACCUGGUAAAGAAACCCCGGCUAACUCCGUGCCAGCAGCCGCGGUAAUACGGAGGGGGUCAGCGUUGUUCGGAAUUACUGGGCGUAAAGCGCACGUAGGCGGAUUAUUAAGUCAGAGGUGAAAUCCCGGGGCUCAACCCCGGAACUGCCUUUGAUACUGGUAAUCUUGAGUUCGAGAGAGGUGAGUGGAAUUCCGAGUGUAGAGGUGAAAUUCGUAGAUAUUCGGAGGAACACCAGUGGCGAAGGCGGCUCACUGGCUCGAUACUGACGCUGAGGUGCGAAAGUGUGGGGAGCAAACAGGAUUAGAUACCCUGGUA